AUACGGAGGGAGCGAGCGUUAAUCGGAAUUACUGGGCGUAAAGCGCGCGUAGGCGGCUUUGUAAGUCGGAUGUGAAAGCCCUGGGCUUAACCUGGGAAUGGCAUUCGAUACUGCAGAGCUAGAGUAUGGUAGAGGGAAGUGGAAUUUCCGGUGUAGCGGUGAAAUGCGUAGAUAUCGGGAGGAACACCAGUGGCGAAGGCGGCUUUCUGGACCAAUACUGACACUCAGGCGCGAAAGCGUGGGGAGCAAACAGGAUUAGAAACCCGAGUAGUCC
RNAcentral lists this ribosomal RNA (274 nucleotides) under uncultured bacterium. Its description in RNAcentral is "partial 16S ribosomal RNA". It matches the Rfam family "Bacterial small subunit ribosomal RNA", at positions 523 to 796 of the family's 1533-position model. The record is from RNAcentral.